UCAUUUAGAGGAAGUAAAAGUCGUAACAAGGUCUCCGUAGGUGAACCUGCGGAGGGAUCAUUACACAAAUAUGAAGGCGGGCUGGAACCUCUCGGGGUUACAGCCUUGCUGAAUUAUUCACCCUUGUCUUUUGCGUACUUCUUGUUUCCUUGGUGGGUUCGCCCACCACUAGGACAAACAUAAACCUUUUGUAAUUGCAAUCAGCGUCAGUGACAAAUUAAUAAUUACAACUUUCAACAACGGAUCUCUUGGUUCUGGCAUCGAUGAAGAACGCAGCGAAAUGCGAUAAGUAGUGUGAAUUGCAGAAUUCAGUGAAUCAUCGAAUCUUUGAACGCACAUUGCGGCCAUAGGUAUUCCUUUGGCCAUGCCUGUUCGAGCGUCAUUUACACCCUCAAGCCUAGCUUGGUGUUGGGCGUCUGUCCCGCCGAUUCUCGCGCGCGGACUCGCCUCAAAGUCAUUGGCCGCGGUCGUGCCAGCCCCCUCGCGCAGCACAUUUUGCGCUUCUCGGAGGCUCGGCGGAUCCCGCGCUCCAGCAAGGACCUUUCACGACUUGACCUCGGAUCGGGUAGGAGUACCCGCUGAACUUAAGCAUAUCAAUAAG
This 601-nucleotide ribosomal RNA is filed under the name uncultured fungus. Its description in RNAcentral is "eukaryotic LSU rRNA". The stretch from base 229 to 382 matches the Rfam family "5.8S ribosomal RNA". Lineage: Eukaryota; Fungi. The record is from RNAcentral.